AGAAGAUUGUCCGAGAGGUUUAAGGAGGCAUACUUGAAAUAUGUUAAUUAUAUAAAAUAACAUUGGUUCGAAUCCAAUAUCUUCUG
Molecule: non-coding RNA, 86 nt
Organism: Sporothrix brasiliensis 5110
Lineage: Eukaryota; Fungi; Ascomycota; Sordariomycetes; Ophiostomatales; Ophiostomataceae
Source: the annotation of a RefSeq genome assembly